GAUGAAGAACGCAGCGAAAUGCGAUAAGUAAUGUAAAUUGCAGAAUUCAGUGAAUCAUCGAAUCUUUGAACGCACAUUGCGCCCGCCAGUAUUCUGGCGGGCAUGCCUGUUCGAGCGUCAUUACAACCCUCAGGCCCCCGGGCCUGGCGUUGGGGAUCGGCGGAGCCCCCCGUGGGCACACGCCGUCCCCCAAAUGCAGUGGCGGUCCCGCCGCAGCUUCCAUCGCGUAGUAGCUAACACCUCGCGACUGGAGAGCGGCGCGGCCACGCCGUAAAACACCCAACUCUUCUGAAGUUGACCUCGAAUCAGGUAGGAAUACCCGCUGAACUUAAGCAUAUCAAUAAGCGGAGGA
RNAcentral lists this unclassified non-coding RNA (352 nucleotides) under soil metagenome. RNAcentral's name for it is "partial contains 5.8S ribosomal RNA, internal transcribed spacer 2, and large subunit ribosomal RNA". The stretch from base 1 to 120 matches the Rfam family "5.8S ribosomal RNA", at positions 35 to 154 of the family's 154-position model. The record is from RNAcentral.